Molecule: ribosomal RNA, 261 nt
Filed under: uncultured Prevotella sp.
Lineage: Bacteria; Pseudomonadati; Bacteroidota; Bacteroidia; Bacteroidales; Prevotellaceae
Description: partial 16S ribosomal RNA
Rfam family: Bacterial small subunit ribosomal RNA
Source: RNAcentral
CCGGCGCACGGGCGAGUAACGCGUAUCCAACCUGCCCAUAACUAAGGGAUAACCCAGCGAAAGUUGGACUAAUACCUUAUGUAUUCGUUUGAUCUCAUGAGAUUACGAAUAAAGAUUUAUCGGUUAUGGAUGGGGAUGCGUCUGAUUAGCUUGUUGGCGGGGUAACGGCCCACCAAGGCAACGAUCAGUAGCCGGUCUGAGAGGAUGAACGGCCACAUUGGAACUGAGACACGGUCCAAACUCCUACGGGAGGCAGCAGUA